AGAUUGAACGCUGGCGGCAUGCCUUACACAUGCAAGUCGAACGGCAGCACGGGAGCAAUCCUGGUGGCGAGUGGCGAACGGGUGAGUAAUACAUCGGAACGUGCCCAGUAGUGGGGGAUAGCCCGGCGAAAGCCGGAUUAAUACCGCAUACGACCUACGGGUGAGAGCGGGGGAUCGCAAGACCUCGCGCUAUCGGAGCGGCCGAUGUCAGAUUAGCUUGGUUGGACGGGUAAAAGCCCACCAAGGCGACGAUCUGUAGCUGGUCUGAGAGGACGACCAGCCACACGUGGGACUGAGACACGGCCCAGACUCCGUACGGGAGGCAGCGAGGUGGGUAAUUUUGGACAAGUGGGCGCAAGCCUAGACUCCGAGCCAGUCGCCCGUCGGUCGGACGGG
Molecule: ribosomal RNA, 396 nt
Filed under: uncultured soil bacterium
Lineage: Bacteria
Description: bacterial SSU rRNA
Rfam family: Bacterial small subunit ribosomal RNA
Source: RNAcentral